This 2127-nucleotide ribosomal RNA is filed under the name bioreactor metagenome. Its description in RNAcentral is "bacterial LSU rRNA". It matches the Rfam family "Bacterial large subunit ribosomal RNA", at positions 997 to 2669 of the family's 2925-position model. The record is from RNAcentral.
GAUAAGUCUCAUAGUCAAGAGGGAAACAGCCCAGACCGCCGACUAAGGUCCCGAAAUUGCAGCUAAGUGGGAAAGGAUGUGGGUUUGCUAAGACAACUAGGAUGUUGGCUUAGAAGCAGCCAUUCAUUGAAAGAGUGCGUAAUAGCUCACUAGUCGAGUGAGCCUGCGCCGAAAAUUCACGGGGCUAAGCUGCAUACCGAAGUCGCGGAUUCUAGAAACUAGAAACUAGAGACUAGGAACUAGAAACGAGGGGAAUAAAUGUUAAGUAAUUUCAGGGAUUUAAAAGUAUAUCAAAAGGCGUAUCAAGUGUCGCUUGGUAUACAUGAAAUGAGCUUAAAAUUCCCUCAGUUUGAGAAAGUUGAGUUAGGGAACCAAAUAAGAAGAGCAAGCAAAUCCAUUGCUAUGAAUAUAGCGGAAGGAUUUGGGAGAAGAGGUUCCGUAGCAGAUUUCAAAAGGUUUCUGGUAAUGGCUUUAGGUUCUUGUGAUGAGAUACGAGUGCAGCUGGAUUAUUGCAGAGAUUUGAGCUAUAUAACAGAAAACCAAUACGAAGAAUACAGCAAAGCAUAUGAUGAGAUUGGAAGAAUGUUGAAAGCAUGCUCAAAAGAUGGAGAAAGUAAUCUAGUAAUUAGCAUCUAAUAUCUAAAUCUAGUACCUAGUAUCUAGUAUCUAGUUUCUAGAGUGGUAGGGGAGCAUAGUAUACGGGCAGAAGCAUGACCGAAAGGACAUGUGGACUGUAUAGUAGAGAGAAUGCCGGAAUGAGUAGCGAAAGUGAAGUGAGAAUCUUUACCGCCGAAUACCUAAGGUUUCCUGGGGAAGGCUCGUCCGCCCAGGGUUAGUCGGGACCUAAGCUGAGGCCGAAAGGCGUAGGCGAUGGACAACAGGUUGAUAUUCCUGUACCACCGUUAUCCGUUUGAGAGAAGGGGGGACGCAGGGAGAUAGAGUGAACGAGUAACUGGAAGUACUCGUCCAAGAGGAAUAGAAAGUCUGGCAGGCAAAUCCGCCGGAUGAUUCGAAGCCUUGAUGGGUAGGGAAAAUAUAGUACCGAAGCACUCGAUUCUGCACUGACAAGAAAAGCCUCUAUCGAGAAUAAAGGUGCCCGUACCGCAAACCGACACAGGUAGAUGAGGAGAGAAUCCUAAGGCGAGCGGGAGAAGCGUUGUUAAGGAACUCGGCAAAUUGACCCCGUAAGUUCGCGAGAAGGGGUGCCUGAAGCGGAGCAAUCCGUGGAGGGCCGCAGAGAAAUGGCCCAAGCAACUGUUUAUCAAAAACACAGGUCUCUGCUAAAUCGAAAGAUGAGGUAUAGGGGCUGACGCCUGCCCGGUGCUGGAAGGUUACGGGAAUCUGUUAGUCGAAAGGCGAAGCAGUGAACUUAAGCCCCAGUAAACGGCGGCCGUAACUAUAACGGUCCUAAGGUAGCGAAAUUCCUUGUCGGGUAAGUUCCGACCCGCACGAAUGGCGUAAUGGUUUGGGCACUGUCUCGACAACGCGCCCGGUGAAAUUGUAGUACUCGUGAAGAUGCGAGUUACCCGCGACUAGACGGAAAGACCCCAUGGAGCUUUACUGUAGCCUGAUACUGUAUUUCGAUAUUUCAUGUACAGGAUAGGAGGGAGGCUAAGAAGCCAGGACGCUAGUUCUGGUGGAGCCAACGUUGGGAUACCUCUCUUGGAGUAUUGGGAUACUAACCAGGAGCCAUGAACUGGUUCUGGGACAAUGUCAGGUGGGCAGUUUGACUGGGGCGGUCGCCUCCCAAAGAGUAACGGAGGCGCCCCAAGGUUACCUCAGCACGGUUGGAAAUCGUGCGACGAGUGCAAAGGCAGAAGGUAGCCUGACUGCGAGACCAACAAGUCGAGCAGGUACGAAAGUAGGGCUUAGUGAUCCGGCGGUAUGAGAGUGGAAUUGCCGUCGCUCAACGGAUAAAAGCUACCCUGGGGAUAACAGGCUUAUCUCCCCCAAGAGUCCACAUCGACGGGGAGGUUUGGCACCUCGAUGUCGGCUCAUCGCAUCCUGGAGCUGAAUUCGGUUCCAAGGGUUUGGCUGUUCGCCAAUUAAAGCGGUACGCGAGCUGGGUUCAGAACGUCGUGAGACAGUUCGGUCCCUAUCUGUCGUGGGCGUAGGAUAUUUGAAGGG